Chiloscyllium plagiosum (whitespotted bambooshark) is the source of this 905-nucleotide long non-coding RNA. RefSeq lists it as uncharacterized. NCBI's taxonomy places the organism in Eukaryota, Metazoa, Chordata, Chondrichthyes, Orectolobiformes, Hemiscylliidae. The record is from RefSeq and is a predicted model, not a curated record.
UCCCGCGCCUGCCUUCCCGUUCCUCCCUUACCUCCUCAGGUUCCUCCCGGCCGUACAGACUGGUAACGGAAAGGCGGUCCCCAUCUUCCCACAGCCUUUCUCCUCCUCCUCCUGUGAAGUCAGCGGCUGUGAAUUCAAGGCAGAAAAUGCGGGAGUGCCAAGCAGGAGAAUGGGCCAACAAGACCAGCUCCGUGUGGAGGCAGAGACAGACAGGAGGAACGAGGAAACGGAAGCAGCACCUUGUUCAUGCGAGUCUCACUAAUAGCCCGCUCAUUCAUCCUCCUCCUGUCUGUGUCUGAGCACCGUUCACAGUCUGACUGGCCAGUCAGAGCCUAGAAAUAACAAAAUAAAACAACACACAAAAUUCGCUCUACAGUCUUUUUUUGUGUUGCCGCCAAGCGGCUGGAAUUCCCUUCCUUUCUGCAACAACGUGCUGGAAUUAACUUGGAAGCAGCUUCUCCCAGCCCGCUACCCUCAGUAUCGCUGUCACUCCCAGGCCCAGUCAUUGGUUCAUAGCCGGCGGCUGAGGAUCACUGCCACAUGGAGUAGUUGAUUACUGCAGAUUGGAGGUCAAGGGCGUGACCUUCGACCCUCUCAACAGCUGUCUGUAUCUCACAGAUGAAGUUUUGCAUACCUACAAUGAUGGCCUAAUGUAUCUUACCAACGACAAGCCCACAUACAAAAAGGAUAUUGUGUGCACAUAUUGAACAUGAGAAUGAAUAUAGAGAUCACAGAAAAUGGUGCCCAAAAACAAAAUGCAAUUAGCCAUAUCUGGAAUUCGUAUUAGCUACAGAAGUUAUUGCAUACUGGCAAAUAUUUGAUCAAUAUUGCAAAUAUGAAUAAUAUUUUCAUUAUGGUGGACAAAACGUUUGUGAAUAAAGUGAAAAUAAAAUUUACAUAAAUAC